GACGAACGCUGGCGGCGUGCUUAACACAUGCAAGUCGAACGGAAAGGCCCUGCUUUUGUGGGGUGCUCGAGUGGCGAACGGGUGAGUAACACAUGAGUAACCUGCCCUUGACUUUGGGAUAACUUCAGGAAACUGGGGCUAAUACCGGAUAGGAGCUCCUGCUGCAUGGUGGGGGUUGGAAAGUUUCGGCGGUUGGGGAUGGACUCGCGGCUUAUCAGCUUGUUGGUGGGGUAGUUGCUUACCAAGGCUUUGACGGGUAGCCGGCCUGAGAGGGUGACCGGCCACAUUGGGACUGAGAUACGGCCCAGACUCCUACGGGAGGCAGCAGUGGGGAAUAUUGCACAAUGGGCGGAAGCCUGAUGCAGCAACGCCGCGUGCGGGAUGACGGCCUUCGGGUUGUAAACCGCUUUCGCCUGUGACGAAGCGUGAGUGACGGUAAUGGGUAAAGAAGCACCGGCUAACUACGUG
RNAcentral lists this ribosomal RNA (468 nucleotides) under uncultured bacterium. RNAcentral's name for it is "partial 16S ribosomal RNA". It matches the Rfam family "Bacterial small subunit ribosomal RNA", at positions 28 to 507 of the family's 1533-position model. The record is from RNAcentral.